AGGAUUAUAUUUAAUUAUAAUGUUUGAAUUGCAAUCAGAAGGUACCCGUAGGGUUAAUCUUU
This 62-nucleotide transfer RNA is filed under the name Nesophrosyne sp. 242 GMB-2012. RNAcentral's name for it is "tRNA-Ala". The record is from RNAcentral. Lineage: Eukaryota; Metazoa; Arthropoda; Insecta; Hemiptera; Cicadellidae.